GUUGAUGUAGCUUAUAGAUAAAGCAAAGCACUGAAAAUGCUUAGAUGGAUGCGAGCAUCCCAUAAACA
Molecule: transfer RNA, 68 nt
Filed under: Dicrostonyx torquatus (Arctic lemming)
Lineage: Eukaryota; Metazoa; Chordata; Mammalia; Rodentia; Cricetidae
Also listed under: 1 other name
Description: tRNA-Phe
Rfam family: tRNA
About the family: Transfer RNA (tRNA) molecules are approximately 80 nucleotides in length. Their secondary structure includes four short double-helical elements and three loops (D, anti-codon, and T loops).
Source: RNAcentral